GAUGAACGCUAGCGGCAGGCCUAAUACAUGCAAGUCGAACGAGAUUAUCCAGCUUGCUGGAUAUGAAAGUGGCGCACGGGUNCGUAACGCGUAUGCAACCUACCUUAAUCAGGGGGAUAGCCCGGAGAAAUCCGGAUUAAUACCGCAUAAAAUCACAGCACAGCAUUGUGUAAUGAUCAAACAUUUAUGGGAUUGAGAUGGGCAGCGUGUCAUUAGCUAGUUGGCCGGGGUAACGACCCACCAAGGCGACGAUGACUAGGGGAUCUG
This 267-nucleotide ribosomal RNA is filed under the name uncultured bacterium. RNAcentral's name for it is "partial 16S ribosomal RNA". It matches the Rfam family "Bacterial small subunit ribosomal RNA", at positions 28 to 294 of the family's 1533-position model. The record is from RNAcentral.